GACAGAGGGUGCAAACGUGUUCGGAAUUACUGGGCGUAAAGCGCGUGUAGGCGGCUAAGUAAGUCGGGCGUGAAAUCCCACGGCUCAACCGUGGAAGUGCACCGUACGAACUCGCUAGCUAGAGUCCUGGAGAGGAAGGUGGAAUGCUUGGUGUAGAGGUGAAAUUCGUAGAUAUCAAGCGGAACACCGGUGGCGAAGGCGGCCUUCUGGACAGUGACUGACGCUGAGACGCGAAAGCGUGGGGAGCAAACAGGG
Molecule: ribosomal RNA, 255 nt
Filed under: uncultured bacterium
Lineage: Bacteria
Description: partial 16S ribosomal RNA
Rfam family: Bacterial small subunit ribosomal RNA
Source: RNAcentral